GCUGGCGGCAUGCCUUAUACAUGCAAGUCGAACGAGAAAACCACUUCGGUGGCGAGUACAGUGGCGCACGGGUGAGUAACGCGUAGAUGAUCUACCCUUCAGUCUGGGACAACUCUUGGAAACGGGAGCUAAUACCGGAUAAAACCUUCGGGUUGAAAGAUUUAUCGCUGGGGGAUGAGUCUGCGUACCAUUAGCUUGUUGGUGGGGUAACGGCCUACCAAGGCGACGAUGGUUAGCGGGUCUGAGAGGACGAUCCGCCACACUGGAACUGAGACACGGUCCAGACUCCUACGGGAGGCAGCAGUAGGGAAUAUUGCGCAAUGGGGGCAACCCUGACGCAGCAAUGCCGCGUGAGUGAAGAAGGCCUUCGGGUCGUAAAGCUCUUUUAUGGGGGAAGAUGAUGACGGUACCCCAUGAAUAAGCACCGGCUAACUACGUGCCAGCAGCCGCGGUAAUACGUAGGGUGCGAGCGUUGUUCGGAAUUACUGGGCGUAAAGGGCGUGCAGGCGGAUUGGCAAGCCGGAGGUGAAAGCCCGGGGCUCAACCCCGGAGGGUCUUUCGGAACUGCCAGUCUUGAGAGGGUCAGGGGCCAGCGGAAUUCCUGGUGUAGAGGUGAAAUUCGUAGAGAUCAGGAGGAACACCGGCGGCGAAAGCGGCUGGCUGGGGCCACUCUGACGCUGAGGCGCGAAAGCGUGGGGAGCAAACAGGAUUAGAUACCCUGGUAGUCCACGCCGUAAACGAUGGGCACUAAGCGUCCGACGGGUUCGACCCUGUUGGGUGCUGCAGUUAACGCGUUAAGUGCCCCGCCUGGGGAGUACGGUC
This 822-nucleotide ribosomal RNA is filed under the name uncultured Pseudomonadota bacterium. RNAcentral's name for it is "bacterial SSU rRNA". It matches the Rfam family "Bacterial small subunit ribosomal RNA", at positions 35 to 887 of the family's 1533-position model. The record is from RNAcentral. Lineage: Bacteria; Pseudomonadati; Pseudomonadota.